Molecule: long non-coding RNA, 5414 nt
Organism: Grus americana (Whooping crane)
Lineage: Eukaryota; Metazoa; Chordata; Aves; Gruiformes; Gruidae
Exons: 4
Source: RefSeq, a predicted model, not a curated record
GGCGGCUUUGUGCCUGCCGGCGGCCUGCCCAGCGUGACCCCCUGGAGUCGGGGCGCGUCACAGUCUUUGCCCCUUGGCCACCCGUGAAGCCCCUUGGCGUGUUGAGGCCCCUCUGGCCUCCAUGCAGCCCGGGGGGCGGGUCUGAGGCUCUCCUCUCCUGCUCGGCGGUAGGGAUGGCGCCCCAGACAUUGGCUGCACAGGGCUCGCUCGCCCUUCUGGGAAGUUUUGUUUGUGUGUCCUUGUCCUUGUCUUUGUCCUUGUGGGUGUGAGCGAGCGAGCGAGUGAGCUUGUCCUUUAGGCCCCUCUUAAAAGCGCUGCAGCUUAGCUUAAGCUUCCCAGGAGGGAAAGGGCGGCUCUGUGCAGCAACAGGGGGGUCCCCUCUGAGCCCGCGAGCGGAGGGAGAGUCCGGGCUUGCCCCUCCUUUCUAUAAGGACGGAGCGAAGCCGCUUAGCGGUAGAGCGGGCAACGCGACCUGCCUGUAGUCAGGGCCUGGGUGUCUCUGCCUGCGUGGCCGCCUGUCCUGCUGGCGAGCUGCCAGCGUGACAGCCCUGUACUCGGGGCGUGUGUCACGAGCCGUGGAGCCCUCUUGUCCCCAGGAGCAGCCCGACCUCCCCGUAAGCGGGGCUGGGGGGGCCGCUCUAGCCAGCCCACAGGAACGAGCCCUCCCUCGCCCUUUAGCGGGCGCAGGUUGAGGAAGCGCUGCGCCGGAGGGCGCAGUCCCGCCUUUGGCGCUGCUUUUGGCUGGGGCGACCUCCCCGCGGUUGGGGUCGAGGUCGCUCCCUGGGCUCCUGAAGACGUGGCGUUGUGCUGCAGCCAGGCCGGCCGGCCCGUAAGUCGGGCGCAGGUGGGAGCCUCGGGCUCCGCGGGGCUUGUUGGGAGAGCCGAGCCGAGGGGGGCCGCCCUGUAAGCAGGGCUGUGCGUGUCCCCCGCGCUCGGCGGGAGGUGCUUGGAGGGACCCCCUGUAAUCAGGCGGGUAUCUCCUGGCCCCGGCCUUUCAGAGGCGCGGGGCCAGGAUGCGUGGGGGCCGGGCGUGCGCCCCCCCCGUCCUCGGGGCUGGGGCUGCGGCCCCCCGGCCUUUGGCCGUGAAGCUCCGCUGCCUGGCUGUCGAGUCUCGUUCCUGUGGCUGCGGGGGAAGGCCGAGCUCCCCGACUCCCUGGGUGUCGACCUGCCUGUAAGCAGGGUUCCGGGUCUGGGAGCCUUUGUGCUCAGCUGGCAGCCUGCGUGGGGUGACCGGCCCCGUUAGCGGGGUGCGGGUCGGGGUGCCCCUGAAUCGGAGAGAAGGAGCCUCCGUGGGCCUUUGGGACCAGGGCUGCCCUGUAAGUCAGGGCCCGGCCAGUGCCCUGCAGUCCCGGGCGCUUUGCGGUCCAGGCAGCGGCUCGAGCCCCCUGUAAGCAGGGACGCGGAGCCUCGUUGGCCGCUGCUUUGCAUGCCCAGCUUCGUUUGCCCAGGGUGCCCGCCUCCGAGCCCGGCUCCAGCACCGGCUGGAACUCUGGCCUGCGUCGCUUUGCGGCCGGCGGAGAAGAAAGAAGAGGCUUCGUGUGGAACGGCGAGUCAAGAGCGAGCGAGAAGAGGAGCGGCGUCGGGCUGAAGAGCGGGCAGAGGAGAAAGGCGCUCUGGGCAAAGGGACCUCCCUGUCAGCAGGGCGCGGUCACGUAAGAGCAUCGCGGGCACCUUUGGGGUGCCCCGGCUGGCUUUGCGCUGGGCGACCUCCCUGUAACCAGGGCUCGGUCUUUGCUUUUGUUGUCGUCGGCCUUUUGCCGUCGUGCUCCUUUGGCUGCCCGGAGAGAGCGGCGACCCUGUAAGGAGGGUGAGAGCCGCCGUCUCCGCACCCGAGGGGGGAAAGGGAGCUCUCUGGACCCCGAGCCCACCCUGUAAGCAGGGGAGGGCUGUUUCCCCGGCCCCCUCCUCUGGCCCCGGCGGCUUUGUGCCUGCCGGCGGCCUGCCCAGCGUGACCCCCUGGAGUCGGGGCGCGUCACAGUCUUUGCCCCUUGGCCACCCGUGAAGCCCCUUGGCGUGUUGAGGCCCCUCUGGCCUCCAUGCAGCCCGGGGGGCGGGUCUGAGGCUCUCCUCUCCUGCUCGGCGGUAGGGAUGGCGCCCCAGACAUUGGCUGCACAGGGCUCGCUCGCCCUUCUGGGAAGUUUUGUUUGUGUGUCCUUGUCCUUGUCUUUGUCCUUGUGGGUGUGAGCGAGCGAGCGAGUGAGCUUGUCCUUUAGGCCCCUCUUAAAAGCGCUGCAGCUUAGCUUAAGCUUCCCAGGAGGGAAAGGGCGGCUCUGUGCAGCAACAGGGGGGUCCCCUCUGAGCCCGCGAGCGGAGGGAGAGUCCGGGCUUGCCCCUCCUUUCUAUAAGGACGGAGCGAAGCCGCUUAGCGGUAGAGCGGGCAACGCGACCUGCCUGUAGUCAGGGCCUGGGUGUCUCUGCCUGCGUGGCCGCCUGUCCUGCUGGCGAGCUGCCAGCGUGACAGCCCUGUACUCGGGGCGUGUGUCACGAGCCGUGGAGCCCUCUUGUCCCCAGGAGCAGCCCGACCUCCCCGUAAGCGGGGCUGGGGGGGCCGCUCUAGCCAGCCCACAGGAACGAGCCCUCCCUCGCCCUUUAGCGGGCGCAGGUUGAGGAAGCGCUGCGCCGGAGGGCGCAGUCCCGCCUUUGGCGCUGCUUUUGGCUGGGGCGACCUCCCCGCGGUUGGGGUCGAGGUCGCUCCCUGGGCUCCUGAAGACGUGGCGUUGUGCUGCAGCCAGGCCGGCCGGCCCGUAAGUCGGGCGCAGGUGGGAGCCUCGGGCUCCGCGGGGCUUGUUGGGAGAGCCGAGCCGAGGGGGGCCGCCCUGUAAGCAGGGCUGUGCGUGUCCCCCGCGCUCGGCGGGAGGUGCUUGGAGGGACCCCCUGUAAUCAGGCGGGUAUCUCCUGGCCCCGGCCUUUCAGAGGCGCGGGGCCAGGAUGCGUGGGGGCCGGGCGUGCGCCCCCCCCGUCCUCGGGGCUGGGGCCGCGGCCCCCCGGCCUUUGGCCGUGAAGCUCCGCUGCCUGGCUGUCGAGUCUCGUUCCUGUGGCUGCGGGGGAAGGCCGAGCUCCCCGACUCCCUGGGUGUCGACCUGCCUGUAAGCAGGGUUCCGGGUCUGGGAGCCUUUGUGCUCAGCUGGCAGCCUGCGUGGGGUGACCGGCCCCGUUAGCGGGGUGCGGGUCGGGGUGCCCCUGAAUCGGAGAGAAGGAGCCUCCGUGGGCCUUUGGGACCAGGGCUGCCCUGUAAGUCAGGGCCCGGCCAGUGCCCUGCAGUCCCGGGCGCUUUGCGGUCCAGGCAGCGGCUCGAGCCCCCUGUAAGCAGGGACGCGGAGCCUCGUUGGCCGCUGCUUUGCAUGCCCAGCUUCGUUUGCCCAGGGUGCCCGCCUCCGAGCCCGGCUCCAGCACCGGCUGGAACUCUGGCCUGCGUCGCUUUGCGGCCGGCGGAGAAGAAAGAAGAGGCUUCGUGUGGAACGGCGAGUCAAGAGCGAGCGAGAAGAGGAGCGGCGUCGGGCUGAAGAGCGGGCAGAGGAGAAAGGCGCUCUGGGCAAAGGGACCUCCCUGUCAGCAGGGCGCGGUCACGUAAGAGCAUCGCGGGCACCUUUGGGGUGCCCCGGCUGGCUUUGCGCUGGGCGACCUCCCUGUAACCAGGGCUCGGUCUUUGCUUUUGUUGUCGUCGGCCUUUUGCCGUCGUGCUCCUUUGGCUGCCCGGAGAGAGCGGCGACCCUGUAAGGAGGGUGAGAGCCGCCGUCUCCGCACCCGAGGGGGGAAAGGGAGCUCUCUGGACCCCGAGCCCACCCUGUAAGCAGGGGAGGGCUGUUUCCCCGGCCCCCUCCUCCGGCCCCGGCGGCUUUGUGCCUGCCGGCGGCCUGCCCAGCGUGACCCCCUGGAGUCGGGGCGCGUCACAGUCUUUGCCCCUUGGCCACCCGUGAAGCCCCUUGGCGUGUUGAGGCCCCUCUGGCCUCCAUGCAGCCCGGGGGGCGGGUCUGAGGCUCUCCUCUCCUGCUCGGCGGUAGGGAUGGCGCCCCAGACAUUGGCUGCACAGGGCUCGCUCGCCCUUCUGGGAAGUUUUGUUUGUGUGUCCUUGUCCUUGUCUUUGUCCUUGUGGGUGUGAGCGAGCGAGCGAGUGAGCUUGUCCUUUAGGCCCCUCUUAAAAGCGCUGCAGCUUAGCUUAAGCUUCCCAGGAGGGAAAGGGCGGCUCUGUGCAGCAACAGGGGGGUCCCCUCUGAGCCCGCGAGCGGAGGGAGAGUCCGGGCUUGCCCCUCCUUUCUAUAAGGACGGAGCGAAGCCGCUUAGCGGUAGAGCGGGCAACGCGACCUGCCUGUAGUCAGGGCCUGGGUGUCUCUGCCUGCGUGGCCGCCUGUCCUGCUGGCGAGCUGCCAGCGUGACAGCCCUGUACUCGGGGCGUGUGUCACGAGCCGUGGAGCCCUCUUGUCCCCAGGAGCAGCCCGACCUCCCCGUAAGCGGGGCUGGGGGGGCCGCUCUAGCCAGCCCACAGGAACGAGCCCUCCCUCGCCCUUUAGCGGGCGCAGGUUGAGGAAGCGCUGCGCCGGAGGGCGCAGUCCCGCCUUUGGCGCUGCUUUUGGCUGGGGCGACCUCCCCGCGGUUGGGGUCGAGGUCGCUCCCUGGGCUCCUGAAGACGUGGCGUUGUGCUGCAGCCAGGCCGGCCGGCCCGUAAGUCGGGCGCAGGUGGGAGCCUCGGGCUCCGCGGGGCUUGUUGGGAGAGCCGAGCCGAGGGGGGCCGCCCUGUAAGCAGGGCUGUGCGUGUCCCCCGCGCUCGGCGGGAGGUGCUUGGAGGGACCCCCUGUAAUCAGGCGGGUAUCUCCUGGCCCCGGCCUUUCAGAGGCGCGGGGCCAGGAUGCGUGGGGGCCGGGCGUGCGCCCCCCCCGUCCUCGGGGCUGGGGCCGCGGCCCCCCGGCCUUUGGCCGUGAAGCUCCGCUGCCUGGCUGUCGAGUCUCGUUCCUGUGGCUGCGGGGGAAGGCCGAGCUCCCCGACUCCCUGGGUGUCGACCUGCCUGUAAGCAGGGUUCCGGGUCUGGGAGCCUUUGUGCUCAGCUGGCAGCCUGCGUGGGGUGACCGGCCCCGUUAGCGGGGUGCGGGUCGGGGUGCCCCUGAAUCGGAGAGAAGGAGCCUCCGUGGGCCUUUGGGACCAGGGCUGCCCUGUAAGUCAGGGCCCGGCCAGUGCCCUGCAGUCCCGGGCGCUUUGCGGUCCAGGCAGCGGCUCGAGCCCCCUGUAAGCAGGGACGCGGAGCCUCGUUGGCCGCUGCUUUGCAUGCCCAGCUUCGUUUGCCCAGGGUGCCCGCCUCCGAGCCCGGCUCCAGCACCGGCUGGAACUCUGGCCUGCGUCGCUUUGCGGCCGGCGGAGAAGAAAGAAGAGGCUUCGUGUGGAACGGCGAGUCAAGAGCGAGCGAGAAGAGGAGCGGCAUCGGG